GAGUCGGGUCCUUCGCAAUGAGCACCAGUGAACCCGGUCAGGUCCGGAAGGAAGCAGCCGUAAGCAGGACCGCCCAUGUGCCGAGGGGUUGCCUAACUUGAGC
Molecule: signal recognition particle RNA, 103 nt
Filed under: Paenibacillus sp. HGF7
Lineage: Bacteria; Bacillati; Bacillota; Bacilli; Caryophanales; Paenibacillaceae
Description: Bacterial signal recognition particle RNA
Rfam family: Bacterial small signal recognition particle RNA
About the family: The signal recognition particle (SRP) is a universally conserved ribonucleoprotein involved in the co-translational targeting of proteins to membranes.
Source: RNAcentral